This 45-nucleotide non-coding RNA is filed under the name Trichobilharzia regenti. Lineage: Eukaryota; Metazoa; Platyhelminthes; Trematoda; Strigeidida; Schistosomatidae. The record is from RNAcentral.
AUCUGGCGGACGAGUCCCAAACAGGACGAAAUGGAUAUCCUGGAU